Molecule: small nuclear RNA, 83 nt
Filed under: Octodon degus (degu)
Lineage: Eukaryota; Metazoa; Chordata; Mammalia; Rodentia; Octodontidae
Description: U4 spliceosomal RNA (ENSODEG00000025740.1)
Rfam family: U4 spliceosomal RNA
About the family: U4 small nuclear RNA (U4 snRNA) is a component of the major U2-dependent spliceosome. The structure of U4 snRNA from yeast and human has been reported.
Source: Rfam by way of RNAcentral
AGCUUUGCACAGUGGCAGUAUCAUAGCCAAUGAGGUUUAUCUGAGGCGCGAUUAUUGCUAAUUAAAAACUUUUCCCAAAAACU